GUCCAUGCCGUAAACGAUGUCUACUAGCCGUUGGGGCCUUUGAGGCUUUAGUGGCGCAGCUAACGCGAUAAGUAGACCGCCUGGGGAGUACGGUCGCAAGACUAAAACUCAAAUGAAUUGACGGGGGCCCGCACAAGCGGUGGAGCAUGUGGUUUAAUUCGAUGCAACGCGAAGAACCUUACCUGGUCUUGACAUAGUAAGAACUUUCCAGAGAUGGAUUGGUGCCUUCGGGAACUUACAUACAGGUGCUGCAUGGCG
Molecule: ribosomal RNA, 258 nt
Filed under: uncultured bacterium
Lineage: Bacteria
Description: partial 16S ribosomal RNA
Rfam family: Bacterial small subunit ribosomal RNA
Source: RNAcentral